AUGGCCGUCGUCAGUUCGUACUGUGAAGCAUCCUGUUAAGUCAGGCAACGAGCGAGACCCACGUCCACAGUUGCCAGCAUACCCUCCGGGGUGGAUGGGUACACUGUGGAGACCGCCGCUGCUAAAGCGGAGGAAGGAGUGGGCAACGGUAGGUCAGUAUGCCCCGAAUCUCCCGGGCUACACGCGGGCUACAAUGGUUGGUACAAUGGGCAUCUACCCCGAAAGGGGAAGGAAAUCUCUUAAAGCCAAUCGUAGUUCGGAUUGAGGGCUGCAACUCGCCCUCAUGAAGCUGGAAUCCGUAGUAAUCGCGUUUCAACAGAACGCGGUGAAUACGUCCCUGCUCCUU
This 346-nucleotide ribosomal RNA is filed under the name uncultured Methanosaeta sp. Its description in RNAcentral is "bacterial SSU rRNA". It matches the Rfam family "Archaeal small subunit ribosomal RNA", at positions 994 to 1338 of the family's 1478-position model. The record is from RNAcentral. Lineage: Archaea; Methanobacteriati; Methanobacteriota; Methanomicrobia; Methanotrichales; Methanotrichaceae.